GACUCCCUACGGGGCGCAGCAGUGAGGAAUAUUGGUCAAUGGUCGGGAGACUGAACCAGCCAAGCCGCGUGAGGGAGGAAGGUACAGAGUAUCGUAAACCUCUUUUGUCAGGGAACAAAGACUGGGACGCGUCCCCGGAUGAGUGUACCUGAAGAAAAAGCAUCGGCUAACUCCGUGCCAGCAGCCGCGGUAAUACGGAGGAUGCGAGCGUUAUCCGGAUUUAUUGGGUUUAAAGGGUGCGCAGGCGGUCUGUUAAGUCAGCGGUCAAAGCCCGGGGCUCAACCCCGGCCCGCCGUUGAAACUGG
This 305-nucleotide ribosomal RNA is filed under the name uncultured bacterium. Its description in RNAcentral is "bacterial SSU rRNA". It matches the Rfam family "Bacterial small subunit ribosomal RNA", at positions 333 to 636 of the family's 1533-position model. The record is from RNAcentral.